UCCCUCUGCAACUGGAUCCUGGACUUCCUGACGGGCCGCCCCCACGUGGUAAGAGUAGGCAACAACACGUCUGCCACGCUGAUCCUUAAAACUGUGGCCCCUCAGGGGUGUGUACUUAGUCCCCUCCUGUAUUCCCUGUUCACCCACUACUGCAUGGCCAAACACGACUCCAACACCAUCAUUAAGUUUGCUAACGACACAACAGCGGUAGGCCUGAUCACCGACAACGAUGAGACGGCCUAUAGGGAGGAGGUCAGAGAACUGGCAGGACAACAACCUCUCCCUCAAUGUGAGCAAGACAAAGGAGCUGAUCGUGGACUACAGGAACAGCCCCCCAUUAACAUCCAUGUGGCUCUGUGGAGCUGGUCGAGAGUUUCUAGUUCCUUGUGUCCACAUCAACAAACUAUCAUGGUCCAAACAUACCAAGACAGUUGUGAAGAGAGCACGACAAAACCUUUUCCCCUCAGGAGACUGAAAAGAUAUGCUGUAUUUUUGGUUAGUUAGUUAGCUGUAUUGAAGUAGGCUAGUCUGGUUUAGGGGUGUUUUUGGAUAUUUGUUUCUGUCCUUGGGUCCAGCUCAGCCCCUUUUCCUGCCCCCCUUUACCGUGUGUUUACAAAAUAAACCAUGAGUGUUUGACGGUAAUUUAGUUGUCUGUGUUUUUUUUCGUUCUCACUAUUACUUUUUCACUGUUAUAAUUUGCAUGAGUUAUGUUAAGGAUCUCGUUGCCAUCCCCCCUAGACUGUAGAGCCAGUGGGAUUCGUAACAGAUGCCAUCGGGCGUGACUCGAAUGGAUGUCAAAUUGAUGAUAUCUGACCGUAGCAUGCUACCCUUAGCGGUCGCACUCAAACCAACUUCGGGGUGGCUGUUACCCCCUCAUGUCAAAGUAAGGAAAUUCGAUACAGCGGAACUUAAUUAAGAGUCUCUUGAAGUAGCCAAAUGCCUCGUCAUCUAAGUAAUGACGAGCAUGAAUGAAUGAAAGUGAUUCCCAGUGUCCCUACCUACUAUCUAGCGAAACCACAGCCCAGGGAACAGGCUUGACGGAAUCAGCGGGGAAAGAAGACCCUGUUGAGCUUGACUCUAGUCUGGCACUGUGAAGAGACAUGAGAGUAGUAGAAGUAGUGGGAGGCCUCGGCCGCCGAUGAAAUACCACUAUGCUUAUUGUUUUUUCACUUACCCGGUGAGGCAGGGAGGUGAGCCCCAAGUGCUCGCUCCAGUUGUGACCCGCUCCGGGGACAGUGGCAGGUGGGGAAUUUGACUGGGGCGGUCCACCUGUCAAAUCGUCAGAAACUUCCCGUGGAGCAGAAGGGCAAAAGCUCGCUUGAUCUUGAUUUUCGGUAUGAAUACAGACCGUGAAGCGGGGCCUCACAAUCCUUCUGAGUUUUGGGCUUUUAAGCAGGGGGUGUCAAAAGUUACUACAACGAUAACUGGCUUGUGGCGGCCAAUCGUUCAUAUUGACGUCGCUUUUUGAUCCUUCGCUGUCCCCUCUUCCUAUCACUGUGAAGCAGAAUGCACCAAGCGUUGGUUUGUUCACCCACUAAUAGGGAACAUGAGCUGGGUUUAGACCGUCGUGAGACCGGCUAGUUUUACCCUACUGAUGAUGUGUUGUUGCAAUAGUAAUUCCGAUCAGUACGAAAGGAACCGCAGGUUCAGACAUUUGGUGUAUUUGCUUGGCUGGUGCAAAGCUACCCUUGUGGGAUUAUGACUGAACACCUCUAAAUCAGAAUCCCCCCCUAAACAUAACGAUACCGUAGUGCUGCGAAUCUUCAGUUGGCCCAAGAUAGCCUGCCUCUUUUGGCGGUUGAGUAGAGCUGUUCGUGACAGGGUUGGGGUGCGGCCGGAUGGGUUGCCGCCCCUCUCCUGAUGCGCACCGCAUGUUUGUGGGGAACCUUGUGCUAAAUCACUUGUAGACGACGACCACAUUCUGGGUCAUGGUUUCGUACGAAUCUGAGCUUCUCACUCGCUGCGAUCUAUUGAAAGUCAGCCCUCGAUACAAGCUUUUGU
Molecule: ribosomal RNA, 2001 nt
Filed under: Oncorhynchus tshawytscha (Chinook salmon)
Lineage: Eukaryota; Metazoa; Chordata; Actinopteri; Salmoniformes; Salmonidae
Description: eukaryotic LSU rRNA
Rfam family: Eukaryotic large subunit ribosomal RNA (bases 697-1999)
Source: RNAcentral